Molecule: ribosomal RNA, 511 nt
Filed under: uncultured bacterium
Lineage: Bacteria
Description: bacterial SSU rRNA
Rfam family: Bacterial small subunit ribosomal RNA
Source: RNAcentral
GAUGAACGCUAGCGACAGGCCUAACACAUGCAAGUCGAGGGGCAUCGGGACGUAGCAAUACGUUGCCGGCGACCGGCGGAUGGGUGAGUAACGCGUAUGCAACCUACCCGUAGCAGGGGGAUAGCCCGUUGAAAGACGGAUUAAUACCCCGUAACACAGGGGCUCCGCAUGGAGAUUAUUGUUAAAGGGUCAUUUCUUUUAGAGGUGGUCCGGCUGCGGAUGGGCAUGCGUUCCAUUAGGUAGUUGGUGUAGGUAACUGCUCACCAAGCCGACGAUGGAUAGGGGAACUGAGAGGUUGGUCCCCCACACUGGUACUGAGACACGGACCAGACUCCUACGGGAGGCAGCAGUGAGGAAUUUUGGUCAAUGGACGCAAGUCUGAACCAGCCAUGUCGCGUGAAGGAGGACGGCCCUAAGGGUUGUAAACUUCUUUUGCAGCGGAAUAAAGUUUGCCACGAGUUGGCGAUUUGCAAGUACGCUGCGAAUAAGGAUCGGCUAACUCCGUGCCAGC